Long non-coding RNA from Aricia agestis (brown argus), 88 nucleotides. RefSeq lists it as uncharacterized. Lineage: Eukaryota; Metazoa; Arthropoda; Insecta; Lepidoptera; Lycaenidae. The record is from RefSeq and is a predicted model, not a curated record. The transcript is spliced from 3 exons.
ACUUUUUAGUCCGUCCGCGAACGUUACGCAGUUUAUUGUAUUUCCAUACAUAUUAUUCACUUUUUCGUUCACAUCUAACGGACAACAC